RNAcentral lists this ribosomal RNA (484 nucleotides) under uncultured bacterium. RNAcentral's name for it is "partial 16S ribosomal RNA". It matches the Rfam family "Bacterial small subunit ribosomal RNA", at positions 30 to 507 of the family's 1533-position model. The record is from RNAcentral.
AUUGAACGCUGGCGGCAGGCCUAACACAUGCAAGUCGAGCGGAUGAAGGGAGCUUGCUCCUGGAUUCAGCGGCGGACGGGUGAGUAAUGCCUAGGAAUCGGCCUGGUAGUGGGGGAUAACGUCCGGAAACGGGCGCUAAUACCGCAUACGUCUUGAGGGAGAAAGUGGGGGAUCUUCGGACCUCACGCUAUCAGAUGAGCCUAGGUCGGAUUAGCUAGUUGGUGGGGUAAAGGCCUACCAAGGCGACGAUCCGUAACUGGUCUGAGAGGAUGAUCAGUCACACUGGAACUGAGACACGGUCCAGACUCCUACGGGAGGCAGCAGUGGGGAAUAUUGGACAAUGGGCGAAAGCCUGAUCCAGCCAUGCCGCGUGUGUGAAGAAGGUCUUCGGAUUGUAAAGCACUUUAAGUUGGGAGGAAGGGCAGUAAGUUAAUACCUUGCUGUUUUGACGUUACCAACAGAAUAAGCACCGGCUAACUUCGUG